This 1084-nucleotide ribosomal RNA is filed under the name fungal sp. ARIZ AZ1057. Its description in RNAcentral is "eukaryotic LSU rRNA". The stretch from base 500 to 1084 matches the Rfam family "Eukaryotic large subunit ribosomal RNA", at positions 1 to 591 of the family's 3401-position model. Lineage: Eukaryota; Fungi. The record is from RNAcentral.
AUUACUGAGAUGGGGUUCUUUUGAGCCCGACCUCCAACCCUUUGUUUAAACUACUUUGUUGCUUUGGCAGGCCCGCUCUUCGGAGCCGCUGGGGGCGUUCAGUCGCCUCUGGUCAGUGCUUGCCAGUAGCCAAUUUAAAUUCUUUUAACUAUGUCGUCUGAAUAAUAAUUAUAAAUUUAAUUAAAACUUUCAACAACGGAUCUCUUGGUUCUGGCAUCGAUGAAGAACGCAGCGAAAUGCGAUAAGUAAUGUGAAUUGCAGAAUUCAGUGAAUCAUCGAAUCUUUGAACGCACAUUGCGCCCUUUGGUAUUCCAAAGGGCAUGCCUGUUCGAGCGUCAUUAUCAACCCUCAAGCCCGGCUUGUUAUUGGGUCCUUUAUCGUUAAAAACGAUAGGCCCGAAAGAUAAUGGCGGUGUCGAGAUUGACCCCAGGUGCAGCGAGCUUAUAGCAUACACUGAAAGGUUAACUCGUCCCGGCCUCCUUUUUAUAUUUUCUAAGGUUGACCUCGGAUCAGGUAGGAAUACCCGCUGAACUUAAGCAUAUCAAUAAGCGGAGGAAAAGAAACCAACAGGGAUUGCCUUAGUAACGGCGAGUGAAGCGGCAAAAGCUCAAAUUUGAAAUCUGGCUCUUUUAGAGUCCGAGUUGUAAUUUGUAGAGGAUGUUUCGGGCAAGGCUUCGGUUUAAAUUCCUUGGAACAGGAUGUCAGAGAGGGUGAGAGCCCCGUCUUGAACCAACUGCCGCGUCCAUGUGAAACUCCUUCGACGAGUCGAGUUGUUUGGGAAUGCAGCUCAAAAUGGGAGGUAAAUUUCUUCUAAAGCUAAAUAUUGGCCAGAGACCGAUAGCGCACAAGUAGAGUGAUCGAAAGAUGAAAAGCACUUUGAAAAGAGAGUUAAACAGUAUGUGAAAUUGUUGAAAGGGAAGCGCUUGCAACCAGACUUGUUCUUAACGGUUCCACCAUGAUUUUUCAUGGUUUAUUCCGUUCUGACAGGCCAGCAUCAGUUUGGGUGGUUAGUUAAAGGCUUCGGGAAGGUAUCAUCGUCUUCGGAUGUUGACUUAUAGCCCGAGGUGUAAUGUGACCUACCUAG